GAUGAACGCUGGCGGCGUGCCUAAUACAUGCAAGCCGAGCGAACAGACGAGGAGCUUGCUCCUCUGACGUUAGCGGCGGACGGGUGAGUAACACGUGGAUAACCUACCUAUAAGACUGGGAUAACUUCGGGAAACCGGAGCUAAUACCGGAUAAUAUAUUGAACCGCAUGGUUCAAUAGUGAAAGACGGUUUUGCUGUCACUUAUAGAUGGAUCCGCGCCGCAUGAGCUAGUUGGUAAGGUAACGGCUUACCAAGGCAACGAUGCGUAGCCGACCUGAGAGGGUGAUCGGCCACACUGGAACUGAGACACGGUCCAGACUACUACGGGAGGCAGCAGUAGGGAAUCUGCCGCAAUGGGCGAAAGCCUGACGGAGCAACGCCGCGUGAGUGAUGAAGGUCUUCGGAUCGUAAAACUCUGUUAUUAGGGAAGAACAAAUGUGUAAGUAACUAUGCACGUCUUGACGGUACCGAAUCAGAAAGCAACGGCUAACUACGUG
RNAcentral lists this ribosomal RNA (497 nucleotides) under uncultured bacterium. RNAcentral's name for it is "partial 16S ribosomal RNA". It matches the Rfam family "Bacterial small subunit ribosomal RNA", at positions 28 to 507 of the family's 1533-position model. The record is from RNAcentral.